RNAcentral lists this ribosomal RNA (1474 nucleotides) under human gut metagenome. RNAcentral describes it as "bacterial LSU rRNA". It matches the Rfam family "Bacterial large subunit ribosomal RNA", at positions 1084 to 2641 of the family's 2925-position model. The record is from RNAcentral.
CGCAGACAACCAGGAUGUUGGCUCAGAAGCAGCCACUCAUUCAAAGAGUGCGUAAUAGCUCACUGGUCGAGCGUCUUUGCGCGGAGAAUUUAACGGGGCUAAACCUGACACCGAAGCUUAGGCAAUACAGUAAUGUAUUGGGUAGGGGAGCGUUGUAUACGCGGAGAAACAGUAGCGUAAGCGGCUGUGGAGUGUAUAGAAGUGAGAAUGCCGGAAUGAGUAGCGCGAAUGCAGUGAGAAUCUGCAUGGCCGAAAGCCUCAGGUUUCUGGAGGAAGGUUCGUCCGCUCCAGGUUAGUCGGGAGCUAAGGUGAGGCCGGAAGGCGUAGCCGAUGCACAGACGGUAGAGAUUCCGUCACCACCAAAAGAGUUAAGCACAGGGACACAUUUGAAGUCUCAGAGCCGGGUGUUGGUUCCGGUAGAGAUCGAGGGAAAUUAGUACCGAAGUCUGAGAUGGAAGAUGGCGAGAAAAGCUGUGUGUAUUUCUGAGGUGCCCGUACCGCAAACCGACACAGGUAGGUAGGAAGAAGAUUCUAAGGCCAACGGGAGAAGGGUUGUUAAGGAACUCGGCAAAUUGACCCCGUAACUUCGGGAGAAGGGGUGCUCCAGAGAUGGAGCCGCAGAGAAUCGGCCCAAGCAACUGUUUACCAAAAACACAGGUUUGUGCUAAAUCGAAAGAUGACGUAUACGAGCUGACGCCUGCCCGGUGCUGGAAGGUUAAGAGGAGAUGUGCAAGCAUUGAAUCGAAGCCCCAGUGAACGGCGGCCGUAACUAUAACGGUCCUAAGGUAGCGAAAUUCCUUGUCAGGUAAGUUCUGACCCGCAUGAAAGGCGUAAUGAUUUGGGCACUGUCUCAACAGCCCGCCCGGCGAAAUUGUAGUACCGGUGAAGAUGCCGGUUACCCGCGACAAGACGGAAAGACCCCAUGGAGCUUUACUGUAGCCUAAUAUUGGGUUUCGAUGUUGCAUGCACAGGAUAGAUGGGACUCUUGGAAACCAAGGCUUUGGCUUUGGCGGAGAGGCCGUUGGGAUACCAUCCUUGCGAUAUUGGAAUUCUAACCUGCGGCUCUGAAUCGAGUCGGGGGACAUUGUUAGGUGGGCAGUUUGACUGGGGCGGUCGCCUCCUAAAAAGUAACGGAGGCGUUCAAAGGUUCGCUCAGCUUGAACGGAAAUCAAGCAAAAGAGUGCAAACGCAGAAGCGAGCCUAACUGCGAGACUGACGGGUCGAGCAGUAACGAAAGUUGGAGUUAGUGAUCCGGCGGUAUGUGAAUGGAAAUGCCGUCGCUCAACGGAUAAAAGCUACCCUGGGGAUAACAGGCUGAUCUCCCCCAAGAGUCCACAUCGACGGGGAGGUUUGGCACCUCGAUGUCGGCUCAUCGCAUCCUGGGGCUGUAUUCGGUCCCAAGGGUUUGGCUGUUCGCCAAUUAAAGCGGUACGCGAGCUGGGUUCAGAACGUCGUGAGACAGUUCGGUCCCUAU